AUGAACGCUGGCGGCGUGCUUAAUACAUGCAAGUCGAGCGAACAGACGAGGAGCUUGCUCCUCUGACGUUAGCGGCGGACGGGUGAGUAACACGUGGAUAACCUACCUAUAAGACUGGGAUAACUUCGGGAAACCGGAGCUAAUACCGGAUAAUAUAUUGAACCGCAUGGUUCAAUAGUGAAAGACGGUUUUGCUGUCACUUAUAGAUGGAUCCGCGCCGCAUUAGCUAGUUGGUAAGGUAACGGCUUACCAAGGCAACGAUGCGUAGCCGACCUGAGAGGGUGAUCGGCCACACUGGAACUGAGACACGGUCCAGACUCCUACGGGAGGCAGCAGUAGGGAAUCUUCCGCAAUGGGCGAAAGCCUGACGGAGCAACGCCGCGUGAGUGAUGAAGGUCUUCGGAUCGUAAAACUCUGUUAUUAGGGAAGAACAAAUGUGUAAGUAACUAUGCACGUCUUGACGGUACCUAAUCAGAAAGCCACGGCUAACUACGUG
Molecule: ribosomal RNA, 496 nt
Filed under: uncultured bacterium
Lineage: Bacteria
Description: partial 16S ribosomal RNA
Rfam family: Bacterial small subunit ribosomal RNA
Source: RNAcentral